This 56-nucleotide transfer RNA is filed under the name Urocitellus parryii (Arctic ground squirrel). RNAcentral's name for it is "Spermophilus parryii (Arctic ground squirrel) tRNA". It matches the Rfam family "tRNA", at positions 9 to 63 of the family's 71-position model. From Rfam's summary of the family: Transfer RNA (tRNA) molecules are approximately 80 nucleotides in length. Their secondary structure includes four short double-helical elements and three loops (D, anti-codon, and T loops). Further hydrogen bonds mediate the characteristic L-shaped molecular structure. tRNAs have two regions of fundamental functional importance: the anti-codon, which is responsible for specific mRNA codon recognition, and the 3' end, to which the tRNAs corresponding amino acid is attached (by aminoacyl-tRNA synthetases). tRNAs cope with the degeneracy of the genetic code in two manners: having more than one tRNA (with a specific anti-codon) for a particular amino acid; and 'wobble' base-pairing, i.e. permitting non-standard base-pairing at the 3rd anti-codon position. The record is from Rfam by way of RNAcentral. Lineage: Eukaryota; Metazoa; Chordata; Mammalia; Rodentia; Sciuridae. RNAcentral also lists the same sequence under 2 other names.
AGCUCAGUGGUAGAGUGCUUGCUUGGCAUGCAUGAAGCCCUGGGUUCAAUCCCCAG